Molecule: long non-coding RNA, 690 nt
Filed under: Danio rerio (zebrafish)
Lineage: Eukaryota; Metazoa; Chordata; Actinopteri; Cypriniformes; Danionidae
Description: lncRNA (ENSDARG00000117388.1)
Source: RNAcentral
AUGUUUUCAUUACUGGGGUAUUUUGUGCCUCUUUUCACAUUCGUUUUAAAACGGGACACUGAAAACCAAGAUCUCCAGUCAUGUCCACACAGCAGCAGUGAUGAAACACUGCUGUCCCGCUCUCCUCUUCCUCCCACCGAGAGCAGUUUUAGCAGAACUCAGAGUCCACGCAGACCCCUGCACCCGCCCCCUCGCACAUCACCAGCGGGUAAGCCACGCCCUCUUACCGUCAGCACACACUCUGCAUACACUCUCAGAAAAAAAGGUACAAAUAAUGAUUAGGAGUACCUGAUUAUUAAACUACUCAAACAAACAUGUAUAUGUGUUAUUUUUCAGGCAUGUAGUAAUAGUAACAAUAGAUGUUAAUAAAUGCUGUAUUGACUCAAUUUCGUGUUGUUUUGUGUAAAUGAAUAGUUUGGAGAUAAAGUGUAAGCUUUUCUGGUGCAAUGUGCUUGGGGGAAUAAUAAUUCUGCAUGCGCUGUAUUAAUCUGCUCUCUGCACUGAAACGUCUCUUGAGCAGCAUAUCAUCAUGUUAGAGUGAUUUCUGAGGGAUCACAUGCUGAAUGUAACCUGACCAAUGAUGUGUCAGCAGCAGUCACAUGACCCUGUGUGGAGAGGUGUGUCAGUGAUGUCAUGAUGCUGUCUGUCACCAUGGUGCAGCAUUCAUGGUGUUCACACACACACUAGAAC